GCACUCCGCUUACACCGGACAGACCUCUGUAAAACCCAGAUUAUUGUGAGCUAACCCCCUAGCCCUAAUUUUCCCCAUGCUAUCCCUUCAACUUCACUCACUAACUAAAACAUUUUAAUAAUUUAGUAAAGGAGAUUGAAAAACCUUUAGGAGCUAUAAAAAGAGUACCGCAAGGGAAAGAUGAAAUAAAAAUGAAACAAAUUUUAAGCAAAAAAUAGUAGAGAUAAACCCUCGUACCUUUUGCAUCAUAAUUUAACCAGUUUAAUCAAGCAAAAAGAUCUUCAGUUUGACUUCCCGAAACUAGACGAGCUACUUUGAGGCAGCUUACUGAGCUAACCCGUCUCUGUUGCAAAAGAGUGGGAAGACCUCUAAGUAGUAGUGACAGACCAACCGAGUUUAGUAAUAGCUGGUUGCUUAAGAAAAGGACCUAAGUCCACACUAAAUUAACCCCAUACACAAAAAUCCUGCCUUUAAUUUAGACCCAUUCAAACAAGGUACAGCCUGUUUGAAAAAGGAUACAACCUCUUUAUAUGGGUAAUAAACGCAAUUUUUAUAAUUAAGUAGGCCUAAAAGCAGCCACCUUAAAUAAUAGCGUCAUAGCUAAAUUAUAAAUAAGCCUAAUUCCCCUGACUUCCUAAAACCCUACAUCGUUAUUAAGCAAUUCUAUACUUUUAUAGAAAAUUUUAUGUUAAAACUAGUAACAAGAAGUUAAACUUCUCUUUAAUGCAAGCUCUAAUCAGACCGGAUUAACCACUGAUAAAUAACACUCAUAAUCCCUGAGUAGUAACCAAUCAAGAAAACUCUACUCCCACUGGUGUUAACCUAACACAAGAGCAUUUCAAGAAAGAUUAAAAGAAAAAGAAGGAACUCGGCAAACAUUGACCCCGCCUGUUUACCAAAAACAUCGCCUCUUGACCUAUAUAAGAGGUCCAGCCUGCCCAGUGACAUGGUUCAACGGCCGCGGUAUCCUAACCGUGCGAAGGUAGCGUAAUCACUUGUUCUUUAAAUGAGGACUAGUAUGAAGGGCAUCACGAGAGUCACACUGUCUCCUCUUUCUAAUCAGUAAAACUAAUCUCCCCGUGAAGAAGCGGGGAUAAAAAUAUAAGACGAGAAGACCCUAUGGAGCUUUAAACAAACAACACUUGCCUCCCUUAUCUAAAUUUCAGAAAAACCCUUCACUCUGGCAUCAUGAUUGCUAGUUUUCGGUUGGGGUGACCACGGAACAAAAAAUAACCUCCGAAAUGAAAAUACUCCUCCACUAAAUCAAGGACCACAAUCCUACAUAUCAACAAAUUGACAUCAAUUGACCCAACAUGUUGAUCAAUGAAUCAAGUUACCCUAGGGAUAACAGCGCAAUCCACUUCAAGAGCCCUUAUCGCCAAGUGGGUUUACGACCUCGAUGUUGGAUCAGGGUAUCCUGGUGGUGCAGCCGCUACUAAAGGUUCGUUUGUUCAACGAUUAAAACCCU
RNAcentral lists this ribosomal RNA (1468 nucleotides) under Adenomera sp. CHUNB27648. Its description in RNAcentral is "partial 16S ribosomal RNA". It matches the Rfam family "Bacterial large subunit ribosomal RNA", at positions 117 to 2597 of the family's 2925-position model. The record is from RNAcentral. Lineage: Eukaryota; Metazoa; Chordata; Amphibia; Anura; Leptodactylidae.